Molecule: ribosomal RNA, 548 nt
Filed under: Macrothele arcuata
Lineage: Eukaryota; Metazoa; Arthropoda; Arachnida; Araneae; Macrothelidae
Description: SSU rRNA
Rfam family: Eukaryotic small subunit ribosomal RNA
Source: RNAcentral
GAGCCUGAGAAACGGCUACCACAUCCAAGGAAGGCAGCAGGCGCGCAAAUUACCCACUCCCGGCACGGGGAGGUAGUGACGAAAAAUAACAAUACGGGACUCUUUUGAGACCCCGUAAUUGGAAUGAGUACACUCUAAAUCCUUUAACGAGGAUCUAUUGGAGGGCAAGUCUGGUGCCAGCAGCCGCGGUAAUUCCAGCUCCAAUAGCGUAUAUUAAAGUUGUUGCGGUUAAAAAGCUCGUAGUUGGAUCUCAGUUCCAGACGGGCGGUCCGCCUAACGGUGGUUACUGCCUGGCCUGAACAGCCAGCCGGUUUCCCUAGAUGAUCUUCACCGGUUGUCUUGGGUGACCGGCACGUUUACUUUGAAAAAAUUAGAGUGCUCAAAGCAGGCGUGUAGCCUGAAUAAUGGUGCAUGGAAUAAUGGAAUAGGACUUCGUUUCUAUUUUGUUGGUUUUCGGAACACGAGGUAAUGAUUAAGAGGGACAGACGGGGGCAUUCGUAUUGCGACGCUAGAGGUGAAAUUCUUGGACCGUCGCAAGACGAACUACU